AGCAGUCGAGCGGAGAGGGAGCUUGCUCCUUGAUUCAGCGGCGGACGGGUGAGUAAUGCCUAGGAAUCUGCCUGGUAGUGGGGGACAACGUUUCGCGCUAAUACCGCAUACGUCCUACGGGAGAAAGCAGGGGACCUUCGGGCCUUGCGCUAUCAGAUGAGCCUAGGUCGGAUUAGCUAGUUGGUGGGGUAAUGGCUCACCAAGGCGACGAUCCGUAACUGGUCUGAGAGGAUGAUCAGUCACACUGGAACUGAGACACGGUCCAGACUCCUACGGGAGGCAGCAGUGGGGAAUAUUGGACAAUGGGCGAAAGCCUGAUCCAGCCAUGCCGCGUGUGUGAAGAAGGUCUUCGGAUUGUAAAGCACUUUAAGUUGGGAGGAAGGGCAGUAAGCUAAUACCUUGCUGUUUUGACGUUACCGACAGAAUAAGCACCGGCUAACUCUGUGCCAGCAGCCGCGGUAAUACAGAGGGUGCAAGCGUUAAUCGGAAUUACUGGGCGUAAAGCGCGCGUAGGUGGUUCGUUAAGUUGGAUGUGAAAGCCCCGGGCUCAACCUGGGAACUGCAUCCAAAACUGGCGAGCUAGAGUACGGUAGAGGGUGGUGGAAUUUCCUGUGUAGCGGUGAAAUGCGUAGAUAUAGGAAGGAACACCAGUGGCGAAGGCGACCACCUGGACUGAUACUGACACUGAGUGCGAAAGCGUGGGAGCAAACAGGAUUAGAUACCCUGGUAGUCCACGCCGUAAACGAUGUCAACUAGCCUUGGAAUCCUUGAGAUUUUAGUGGCGCAGCUACGCAUUAAGUUGACCGCCUGGGGAGUACGCCGCAGUUAAAACUCAAAUGAAUUGACGGGGGCCCGCACAAGCGGUGGACAUGUGGUUUAAUUCGAAGCACGCAACUACCCUUGACUGCAGAAACUUUCAAAUGAUUGGGCCUUCGGUCUGACCCUGCAUCGUCACUCCGAGGAUCCAGCCGGGGGUCUACGGACAAUG
Molecule: ribosomal RNA, 988 nt
Filed under: Pseudomonas sp. YSA5_2B1
Lineage: Bacteria; Pseudomonadati; Pseudomonadota; Gammaproteobacteria; Pseudomonadales; Pseudomonadaceae
Description: bacterial SSU rRNA
Rfam family: Bacterial small subunit ribosomal RNA
Source: RNAcentral